GACGAACGCUGGCGGCGUGCCUAAUACAUGCAAGUCGAACGCUUCUUUCCUCCCGAGUGCUUGCACUCAAUUGGAAAGAGGAGUGGCGGACGGGUGAGUAACACGUGGGUAACCUACCCAUCAGAGGGGGAUAACACUUGGAAACAGGUGCUAAUACCGCAUAACAGUUUAUGCCGCAUGGCAUAAGAGUGAAAGGCGCUUUCGGGGGUCGCUGAUGGAUGGACCCGCGGUGCAUUAGCUAGUUGGUGAGGUAACGGCACACCAAGGGCACGAUGCAUAGCCGACCUGAGAGGGUGAUCGGCCACACUGGGACUGAGACACGGCCCAGACUCCUACGGGAGGCAGCAGUAGGGAAUCUUCGGCAAUGGACGAAAGUCUGACCGAGCAACGCCGCGUGAGUGAAGAAGGUUUUCGGAUCGUAAAACUCUGUUGUUAGAUAAGAACAAGGACGUUAGUAACUGAACGUCCCCUGACGGUAUCUAACCAGAAAGCCACGGCUAACUACGUG
This 508-nucleotide ribosomal RNA is filed under the name uncultured bacterium. Its description in RNAcentral is "partial 16S ribosomal RNA". It matches the Rfam family "Bacterial small subunit ribosomal RNA", at positions 28 to 507 of the family's 1533-position model. The record is from RNAcentral.